This 83-nucleotide small RNA is filed under the name Marmota monax (woodchuck). Lineage: Eukaryota; Metazoa; Chordata; Mammalia; Rodentia; Sciuridae. The record is from RNAcentral.
GCCAGGUGCAGUGGCGCACACCUGUAAUCCCAGCAGCUUGGGAGGCUGAGGCAGGAGGAUUGUGAGUUCAAAACCAGCCUCAG